UAGGGAAUCUUCCACAAUGGACGCAAGUCUGAUGGAGCAACGCCGCGUGAGUGAAGAAGGUUUUCGGACCGUAAAGCUCUGUUGUUGGUGAAGAAGGAUAGAGGUAGUAACUGGCCUUUAUUUGACGGUAAUCAACCAGAAAGUCACGGCUAACUACGUGCCAGCAGCCGCGGUAAUACGUAGGUGGCAAGCGUUGUCCGGAUUUAUUGGGCGUAAAGCGAGCGCAGGCGGAAGAAUAAGUCUGAUGUGAAAGCCCUCGGCUUAACCGAGGAAUUGCAUCGGAAACUGUUUUUCUUGAGUGCAGAAGAGGAGAGUAGAACUCCAUGUGUAGCGGUGGAAUGCGUAGAUAUAUGGAAGAAUACCAGUGGCGAAGGCGGCUCUCUGGUCUGCAACUGACGCUGAGGCUCGAAAGCAUGGGUAGCGAACAGGAUUAGAUACCCUGGUAGUCCAUGCCGUAAACGAUGAGUGCUAAGUGUUGGGAGGCUUCCGCCUCUCAGUGCUGCAGCUAACGCAUUAAGCACUCCGCCUGGGGGAGUACGACCGCAAGGUUGAAACUCAAAGUGAAUUGAC
This 570-nucleotide ribosomal RNA is filed under the name uncultured bacterium. RNAcentral describes it as "partial 16S ribosomal RNA". It matches the Rfam family "Bacterial small subunit ribosomal RNA", at positions 355 to 914 of the family's 1533-position model. The record is from RNAcentral.